Molecule: ribosomal RNA, 451 nt
Filed under: uncultured bacterium
Lineage: Bacteria
Description: bacterial SSU rRNA
Rfam family: Bacterial small subunit ribosomal RNA
Source: RNAcentral
AGCGAACGCUGGCGGCAGGCUUAACACAUGCAAGUCGAGCGGGCAUAGCAAUAUGUCAGCGGCAGACGGGUGAGUAACGCGUGGGAACGUACCUUUUGGUUCGGAACAACACAGGGAAACUUGUGCUAAUACCGGAUAAGCCCUUACGGGGAAAGAUUUAUCGCCGAAAGAUCGGCCCGCGUCUGAUUAGCUAGUUGGUGAGGUAAUGGCUCACCAAGGCGACGAUCAGUAGCUGGUCUGAGAGGAUGAUCAGCCACAUUGGGACUGAGACACGGCCCAAACUCCUACGGGAGGCAGCAGUGGGGAAUAUUGGACAAUGGGCGCAAGCCUGAUCCAGCCAUGCCGCGUGAGUGAUGAAGGCCCUAGGGUUGUAAAGCUCUUUUGUGCGGGAAGAUAAUGACGGUACCGCAAGAAUAAGCCCCGGCUAACUUCGUGCCAGCAGCCGCGGUAU